RNAcentral lists this ribosomal RNA (254 nucleotides) under uncultured bacterium. RNAcentral's name for it is "partial 16S ribosomal RNA". It matches the Rfam family "Bacterial small subunit ribosomal RNA", at positions 524 to 776 of the family's 1533-position model. The record is from RNAcentral.
GACGAACCGUGCGAACGUUGUUCGGAAUCACUGGGCUUAGAGGGCGCGUAGGCGGGCUGCCAAGUCCGUAGGUGAAAUCCCCCGGCUCAACCGGGGAACGGCCUCGGAUACUGGCGGCCUGGAGGGGGGUAGGGGCGUGCGGAACUGUGGGUGGAGCGGUGAAAUGCGUUGAGAUCCACAGGAACUCCGGUGGCGAAGGCGGCACGCUGGACCCUUUCUGACGCUGAGGCGCGAAAGCGUGGGGAGCAAACAGG